Ipomoea nil (Japanese morning glory) is the source of this 1678-nucleotide RNA transcript. It is a transcript of the gene named disease resistance protein ADR2-like, with no coding region annotated. The record is from RefSeq and is a predicted model, not a curated record. The transcript is spliced from 4 exons. Lineage: Eukaryota; Viridiplantae; Streptophyta; Magnoliopsida; Solanales; Convolvulaceae.
AAAGAUGGAUGCAAGAAAAUACAUAGCAAUUUCCAUUUCUUAGAGAUCAGAAGAUGUAUAUAUAAUAUAAAUGCCUCCACAUGAAUUAGAAGCAGCAGACGCAGUAGUAAUCUAUCGUAAGUUAAGUUUUAAUCUCCAUCCAUCCUUCCUACCUUCCUUAGCUUGUGUCUUUACCGGCAGGUGUUUCCACCAUGGAAUCUACUUCUGAAACUAAUCAACUGCUCAUUCACUCAUCUUCGUCUUUAUUUCCGCACUGCUACCACUACGAUGUCUUUUUGAGGUGAAGACACCCGAAAGUCCUUUACGGAUCAUCUCUUUGCAGCGUUAUGCCGAGUAGGAGUUUAUGCCUUCAGAGAUGCAGAAGAGCUCCGUAAAGGAGUGGACAUCUCCACUGACCUCAUCAAAGCAAUUCAGGAGUCAAUGAUUUCUAUUAUCGUGUUCUCAAAAACUUAUGCCUCCUCCCGAUGGUGUCUUGAGGAGCUUGUGAAGAUAGUGGAAUGUAAAGAAAAGGCAAAUCAGGUAAUCCUCCCUGUAUUCUAUGAUGUUGAUCCUUCUAAAGUGCGCAAACAAACCGGUGGGUUUGGUAAAGCCUUAGCUCAACAUCAACAACGAUUUGGGACCAAAAGAGUUAGUCAAUGGAAAACAGCUCUGACUAAGGUUGCAAAUUUUUCUGGCUGGGAUUUACAGAAUGAUGCUGACGGGUAUGAAUCAAAACUUAUUGACAAAAUUGUAGAAAAGGUUCUACAAGUGGUGAACCAGACAUUUUUUAAUGUUGCAAAAUAUCCUGUUGGAAUUCAUACCCGGGCUCACAUUUUCGAGCAAGAUCGUCCAUUCAAGAAUGGAGCAAUGACUUUGAGAAGUUAAGAAGGAUUCCUCAUAAUGAUAUUUUGAAGAUUGUCAAUUAUGACGCACUUGAUGAUGAUACUCAACAAAUCUUCCUUGAUAUUGCUUGUUUUUUUUAGGGUGGAUAUUUCCCCAAAGAAGAGAUUGUUACGAUAUUGAAUGCUUGUGGUUUCUUUGCUCAAAGUGGAAUUACAACUUUAAUUGAUAGAUGUUUGUUAGGGGGAAUAGAUUAUUAUUAUUAUAUGCAUGUUUUAGUUCGAGAUAUAGGAAGAGAAAUUGUUCGCCAAGAAUCUCUUAUACUCCUUGAAAAAAGAAGUAGGUUGUUUUCAUGCGAUGAGGUUUUGGAUGUACUCGUGGACAACAAGGGCAAUGAAGCAAUUGAAACAAUGAUUAUUAAUUUGCCAAAGGAAGUGCAUUUGAGUACUAAAGUAUUCUCUAAAAUGAGCAGGUUAAGAUUACUCAGAAUCUUAUCCAUGAAUGCCAAUGGACCAUUAAAAUACUUACCCAAGGAGCUUAGGCUGCUUGUUUGGAAUAAUUGUCCAUUGAAAUACAUACCGUCUGAUCUUUGCUUGAAGAAGCUUGUUAUUUUAGAAAUAACAAACAGCAAUAUUUAGGAAUUUAAACCCAGUUUACAGGUUUGAAGUUUAUAUGAGAUUUUUUGUUUUUUUUUUUUGACAUUACAUCUUUUUAAAAAAGUUAUUAUAAUUUAUUUCGACAAAAUGAUUGGGAAAAGCUUAUUACAACCUUUUAUAUUUUGAUUUAACAGCAUUUUAGAUGCUUGGAGAUCUUAAGGUUUGAUGGUUGCAAGCAACUUAAAGGAUCCCCAAACUUUACU